CCUACCUUUAACUCUGGGAUAGCCCGAAGAAAUUCGGAUUAAUACCGGAUAAUAUCAAGAUAUGACAUCACAGCUUGAUUAAAGGCGCGAGUUGGUUAAAGAUGGGCAUGCGUCCCAUUAGUUAGUUGGGGAGGUAACGGCUCACCAAGGCGAUGAUGGGUAGGGGCUCUGAGAGGAUUACCCCCCACAUUGGUACUGAGACAGGGACCAAACUCCUACGGGAGGCAGCAGUGAGGAAUAUUGGGCAAUGGACGGAAGUCUGACCCAGCCAUGCCGCGUGCAGGAAGACGGCCUUAUGGGUUGUAAACUGCUUUUAUGUAGGGAAAAAGUUCAUAUUGCGAUAUGAUUUGAUGGUACUACAGGAAUAAGAAUCGGCUAACUCCGUGCCAGCAGCCGCGGUAAUACGGAGGAUUCGAGCGUUAUCCGGAUUUAUUGGGUUUAAAGGGUGCGCAGGCGGACUAUUAAGUCAGUGGUGAAAUUUUCCGGCUCAACCGGGACAGUGCCAUUGAUACUGAUAGACUAGAGUAUAAUUGACGUAUGUGGAAUGUAGCAUGUAGCGGUGAAAUGCAUAGAGAUGCUACAGAACACCGAUAGCGAAGGCAGCAUACGAAGCUAUAACUGACGCUCAUGCACGAAAGCGUGGGGAUCGAACAGGAUUAGAUACCCUGGUAGUCCACGCUGUAAACGAUGAUAACU
Molecule: ribosomal RNA, 696 nt
Filed under: uncultured bacterium
Lineage: Bacteria
Description: bacterial SSU rRNA
Rfam family: Bacterial small subunit ribosomal RNA
Source: RNAcentral